GCCCUUAUAGCUCAGUGGUAGAGCGCAUCACUAGUAUUAUGAUGAGGUCCUCUGUUCGAGUCAGGGUGAGGGCA
This 74-nucleotide transfer RNA is filed under the name Rhizoctonia solani AG-1 IB. Its description in RNAcentral is "tRNA-Thr". It matches the Rfam family "tRNA". From Rfam's summary of the family: Transfer RNA (tRNA) molecules are approximately 80 nucleotides in length. Their secondary structure includes four short double-helical elements and three loops (D, anti-codon, and T loops). Further hydrogen bonds mediate the characteristic L-shaped molecular structure. tRNAs have two regions of fundamental functional importance: the anti-codon, which is responsible for specific mRNA codon recognition, and the 3' end, to which the tRNAs corresponding amino acid is attached (by aminoacyl-tRNA synthetases). tRNAs cope with the degeneracy of the genetic code in two manners: having more than one tRNA (with a specific anti-codon) for a particular amino acid; and 'wobble' base-pairing, i.e. permitting non-standard base-pairing at the 3rd anti-codon position. The record is from RNAcentral. Lineage: Eukaryota; Fungi; Basidiomycota; Agaricomycetes; Cantharellales; Ceratobasidiaceae.